This 173-nucleotide ribosomal RNA is filed under the name uncultured fungus. RNAcentral describes it as "partial 28S ribosomal RNA". It matches the Rfam family "Eukaryotic large subunit ribosomal RNA", at positions 1 to 169 of the family's 3401-position model. Lineage: Eukaryota; Fungi. The record is from RNAcentral.
UUGAUCUCAAAUCAGGUAGGACUACCCGCUGAACUUAAGCAUAUCAAUAAGCGGAGGAAAAGAAACUAACAAGGAUUCCCCUAGUAACUGCGAGUGAAGCGGGAAGAGCUCAAAUUUAAAAUCUGGCGUGCCUCUGGCCGUCCGAGUUGUAGUCUGGAGAAGCGUCUUCCGUG